This 274-nucleotide ribosomal RNA is filed under the name uncultured bacterium. RNAcentral's name for it is "partial 16S ribosomal RNA". It matches the Rfam family "Bacterial small subunit ribosomal RNA", at positions 523 to 796 of the family's 1533-position model. The record is from RNAcentral.
AUACGGAGGGUGCAAGCGUUAUUCGGAAUCACUGGGCGUAAAGGACGCGUAGGCGGGUUGGCAAGUCAGAUGUGAAAUCCUACAGCUUAACUGUAGAACUGCAUUUGAAACUGCUAACCUAGAGUAUGGGAGGGGGAGAUGGAAUUAGUGGUGUAGGGGUAAAAUCCGUAGAUAUCACUAGGAAUACCGAAAGCGAAGGCGAUCUCCUGGAACAUAACUGACGCUAAGGCGUGAAAGCGUGGGUAGCAAACAGGAUUAGAAACCCCUGUAGUCC